Long non-coding RNA from Thamnophis elegans (Western terrestrial garter snake), 3544 nucleotides. RefSeq lists it as uncharacterized. The record is from RefSeq and is a predicted model, not a curated record. The transcript is spliced from 4 exons. Lineage: Eukaryota; Metazoa; Chordata; Lepidosauria; Squamata; Natricidae.
CUUUGAUGAAUAUAUCUUGAAUCAUGAAGACUUCUGGAUGAUCUCACCCAAAGUAAUGAAAUCAUCACUUUCCUACCAAAUUAGAUCUCACUGUUGUUUUCCUUACCUGCUGUCUGAAGAAGAGGUUUUAUUGUUCUUGUACACCACAAAUAAUUUUUGGCCUUUGAAACUAAAAGUGCUGCAAAGCUCUGAGGAUAUUUAAACAUACCAGCAUAGGUGCCUCCUGAAAAGGAAGGAGAACAUUCCAGAGGCCAAAAUCCAGCUUAACAAGGAUCUUCCUACAAGUCAACAAUGAAGGCAGCAUUAUGAAAAGGAGAGGAUACUUUACAAUAGAAACUAAUUGUUUAGACUCUGAAAUAUCCACAAAAGAGGAAUUGCUGAAGACAACAAUAUUAGCAGAGAUGGAAAAAAUCACUUUUUGAGUAGAGAAAGGACAAUAACUACAUUUAUUAGUAACUGGAAAUGCCUAAUGGACUUUUUGCUGAAAAAAAUGAACUUGAGAUUUAUUAAUUUGAUAUCAGAAAAGCUCUUCAACGUGUUUUGGCAAAUCAUUCUUAGCAUCGAGAGUUCUGAUUUAAAAACAAAAACACAAAAUUGAAGUGAUCAGAACCCCACACCUUUGGGCUGAAGAUUUGCUUAUCAGCAAAGAUGGAAAAUAAAAAAGAUUCCACAUCCCAUUUACACUACUCAGGCGACCCAGAAGGCAUAGAUAAACAUUCAAAUGGCCUCAACAGCUCUUAGAGAGAGUGCUAAUGACCAGAUGACUACAAGAAAUAGAAAUCCGUCCAUUUUCCACCAUUCAGUCAGAACUAAAGAAGCUUCUUGGAUGAGAAGCAAAAUAUCUUCAAAGAGAAAUGAACUGCAGCUGUCUUUUGAAAAAGCAUCUUUGGAAGCCCUCUGUAUGUUGUUGAAUGCCCAGGAUCUCCACCUGAUGUGUAAAUUGUAUCCAAACAACAUCUGGAAUCAUAGGCUCCCCAUUUCUGUCUUAAUUCUGACAUUUUUAUGAUAAUUCAGGUAAACCGAAUUUCAUGUGACCACACCCAAAUUUACAACCUUUUUUGUAGUGAUCAUUAAGCAAAUAAUAACAUCAUUAUAUGAGCAUCACAUUCAUUAAGUGAACUAUAAUUUUUUGUGAAACAUUUUUGCCAGAAACUGAAAGUAAAUGCUCAAUGACCAUUGGGGUGUGGCCAUUGGAAUUUUUCCAGGUUCUUUCUCAAAGCCAUUUCUCAGAAUUGCAGAGGGUUCCCUCAAGAUCAGUAGUGGGGAAUUAAUUUUCCCAAGGGGUCACGGGAGAAACUGGGAUUCUUGCAGAAGGCCAAACCAAUAAGGUUGUGAAGAUGCAUAGGUACACAUGCAUAAACUAAAAAGAAAAGCAAUUGCCUUCAAAAUAAAAGCAAUUCAAUUGUACUGUGUGCAUGGCAUACGCUUACAUACAUUCUAAUUUCCAACUGAUCUCACACAGGCUGGACAGAGAUAGCCAAAGAGCCAGAUGUAGUCCUGGGGGGUGUAAAAUGCCCAGUUCUGUUAAAGAUCCAGAUGGACCCAACUCUGCUGCUGUUCCAAAGGGCGAUGAAGGCCUUUCAAAAGGGAGAGUGAGAUCCCUCUCUUUAGUCCAACUGACUAUCACAUUUUCCAUCCUUUAUUAAUUUGAUUAUAAUUUGUUUGAUUGUUGUGAGCUUCUUAAAAUCAUUGAAUGUCUGGUAACAUACAACUUUAGAUCAUCAUCAUCAUCAACAUGAUUCAUUGCCUGGGUUUACACAACACACUUAAAAUAUACUUAAAUGUUUAAAAUUUAAGUAUUUUAAUAACUUUAAAAAGAAAGCAGCAGAAGUGAUUACUAUAUCUCCAAACUUUCAAGCUUGUUAAAGAUCACUUGCCAUUUGAUUGCAGUAUAUCUUAUUCCCAGCCCCAGUUCAUGGAGUAGCAGCAAAUAGCCAAUGAAAUCUCUCCUGUUCUGUGCAAUUACAGACUAAUGGACAUCUCUAUUCCAUUAUGUCAGUGGUAGAAACUUCAGGUGGUAGCGCAAUACAGCAGCAACAGUGAUAAUUUAACUGGACCCUUCCCAAAAGAACAAAGCAGCAUGAGGUGAUAAGUACUUGACACAUCCACAUUUGAUUAAACAAUAAAAUGUCUCAAUUCACGCAUGCAUAAACAUUUCAAGAAAAGGCCUGAUUCAUUUUUUAGAGCUGUGAAUUGAUUUAUAGUUAAGUUUUUCUUUACCAUUUUAAUUUAAAACGUUUUGUUUUAAAUAAAAAAUGGCUUUAUUUUAUAAAAAUAAUAGUUCACCAGAUAGUUUUAAAGCUAAAAUCAAUCAGCAUAUUGAUGUCAUUGAGAUAACAGGUAUUAUCUGUUAUAAAAGAUAUUGCACAAGGUUUGUUUGUGUUGAGAAAACUGCUUUGAUUUAAGCCAUUUUAAAGACUGAUUCAUAUGGAACAGUGUAGAUUAUCAACCAAACAAGUCAGCUAAUUUACUAGACACUGCACAUCAGGAUAUUCAUUUUCUAGGGCUUAUUUUUAGAGAGAUAAUAAGAUGAAGCUUGAGUUCACAGCUGUAAAGUGUGUUUUUAUUUUAGGGAUGCUAGACAAUAAUUGGGACUGAUUUUAAAAGUAUAUAUUUGUGCAAACUGUCAUUCAAUUAAGAUGCAAAAGUGGGCUUAAUUAUGUGGGCUUGGUGUUUUAUUUCAAGCAGUAUCAGGUAUUUCAAGAAAAAAUGGAAUUCAAGAUCAUCAGUUGGACAUACAAAGUAAGUUACUUUACUUUUUGUUUUCUUCAUGCUUGGUUUUAAAUUUUAGUCCAGGGCCAUCACCAGACACUCUUAUUCUAGCCUGCCUCAUAUAAUCCCAUUUAAUCAGAUGACAGGAUCAAACAUAGUUGUUGCAAAUCGGCUAUGUUAUUUGCUAUCAUUUUAAGGCAGGAAACAGGACAAUUACAGAGUUUAACAUAAAGAAGUCUAACUCAGUUUUUUAAACAACCUCCUCAAAAGAGAAAAAAUGAAAUGAGUGAAGUUACUCACUCUACUUUGCAAUCAUAUCCUAUGGUCCCAUUCACCAACUUUAACUUUAACUUUUAACUUUAAUAAGAUUUGUAUGCUGGUCACUCCCUUGGGACUCUGAACUAUUAUGUAACUCAAAUUCCUCCCUAUUAGACACCAUAUGCAAAUUAUCCAUAAUAUCGUUGCUUUAAAUUAUUGUGGUGCAUGUGUGUGUGUGUGUGUGUGUUUAAAUCAAUAUUUACUCCUGGAGAUUGCCUCAAUCAAUCCCUGCAGUUUUCUUGGCAAGAUUUCAGAAGUGGUUUACUAUUGUUUGCUUCUUAGGGCUGAGAGAGUGUGCCUAUUCUAAGAUCAUCCAGCUGGCUUCAUCCCUAAGUGGGACCAGAACUUGUAGACUCCCGGUUUUUAGCCUGGUAUCUUAAUCACUAUACCAAACUGGCUCAAAUUAGUAGAACUAUCUGCUUUAAUAAAACGAAUGAUAUACGUAUUAUUUUGUUCAAAGUAAAUACCAUGUUUCCCCGGAAAUAAGACAGGAUCUUAUUUUCUUACCCCCCCC